CCCUUAGACGUUUUGGGCCGCACGCGCGCUACACUGACACAGGCAACGAGCUUUCCUUUACCGAAAGGUAUGGGUAAUCUUUUGAAACUGUGUCGUGCUGGGGAUAGAUCCUUGCAAUUUUUGAUCUUAAACGAGGAAUUCCUAGUAAGCGCGAGUCAUCAACUCGCGUUGAUUACGUCCCUGCCCUUUGUACACACCGCCCGUCGCUACUACCGAUUGAAUGGCUUAGUGAGGCCUCAGGAUCCGCGCUUAAUGUGUGGAGAAUUUGGACAAACUACGUCAUUUAGAGGAAGUAAAAGUCGUAACA
Molecule: ribosomal RNA, 307 nt
Filed under: uncultured eukaryote
Lineage: Eukaryota
Description: partial 18S ribosomal RNA
Rfam family: Eukaryotic small subunit ribosomal RNA
Source: RNAcentral